This 1203-nucleotide long non-coding RNA is filed under the name Homo sapiens (human). RNAcentral describes it as "non-protein coding FLG-AS1:21". The record is from RNAcentral. Lineage: Eukaryota; Metazoa; Chordata; Mammalia; Primates; Hominidae.
AAAGUCUUUCAGAGGCCGGACGCUGGCACUGGACGGAGUAGGGAACCCUAGCCGUUAUCCCACCAAAGGGUCCCAGCGCCUAGAGGGGCUGCGGAAAGCUCCUACAAUACGAGGAGCCCUUGGAGCCCAGAGCGGGAUCCUGCGAGCCGAGGCCCCGUUCUCUGUUAGGAUCACGGGGACUGCCCCAGGCAGCUGCUGGGCCCGGUCGCGGACCUCGGCCAGAACAUCCUCCCAGAACACAGAGGAAUCUGACAUCAGUGGCCUCCCUUGGUAGAGGUGGGGAGCCGAGGGGCGGCAGUGUGGAAGGGCCAUCGGCCUAGGUCUUUCGUAUCCCCUCCGGCCUCUCGGGGCUGUGCGUUCGGAAACAGCGAAAGGAACGGCCUCAGGAAUCUGGCCUCAGCCGGAGCACUGGUGAACACAGGCUCCCGUCGCGCCAAGGGAAGUAGGAAAAGCUGCUUCCGGGCGGAGGGGCUGCACUUCCGGGGCCCGCGUCCCCCGGCGGCUUCGCCGAGAAGGGGCUUUGGGAGCUUAAGGGCGCCGGCACGCGUUCCCCUGGCGCAGAGCUCGCUAGCCGGGGCGCGGGCUGCCUCCUUGUUCUGGUGUGAUCCGAAUGUAACGGAGCGGACUUUGGGAUCCAGAACCCCGGACUGAGGUUGUGCUUGGCUUGAGGGGCGGGCUGCUGCAGUUCCUGAUACUGGUUUUUCUACAUGCUUCAGCCAAAGACAUAUACUCUUUGAUCCCUGAGAACACUAUUUCCUCAGUGUCUUUGCACAUGGAGUUCACUUCUCUGCUUGUGAAGUCUAUGAAUAUUGCAUGGCUGAUUUGUCACAAUUUUAAGUCUUCAACAUCUGGAGUGUUCUGGCAAGAAUUUGUAGGAAAAAUUUUUGAAUCAUCAGAUUACCAUAGCACAACCUUGGAGAAUAAAACUCUUUUGCUCUGAAGCUCAUCUAAUAACCUGAUAUCUCUCAAAUGAAUCUAUCCAAUGACAGGGAAUACCCCAUGUUAAACAGCUGAUUCUUGUUCUGAAUACGUUUAUUAUCUUGUAGUUAGUAAAUAAAUCAAUUGGACCCUUAAGACUUUGCUUAGAGUGAAUCUGUCUCCCAGAGCUUGAUCACAUUUGAAUGUACAGACAAAAACUAACAAAAGUGAGAUCCAUCUGGGGAUGAGGUAUUGGGAUUCUGUAAGAUCCUGCCUGAAACAGCC